This 501-nucleotide ribosomal RNA is filed under the name uncultured bacterium. RNAcentral's name for it is "partial 16S ribosomal RNA". It matches the Rfam family "Bacterial small subunit ribosomal RNA", at positions 28 to 532 of the family's 1533-position model. The record is from RNAcentral.
GAUGAACGCUGGCGGCGUGCCUCAAACAUGCAAGUCGAGCGGGGCUAUGUAAUAUCGCAAGGUAGAACAUAGCCUAGCGGCGAACGGGUGAGUAACACGUGGGUAACCUGCCUGGAAGACAGGGAUAACGAUUCGAAAGGGUCGCUAAUACCUGAUAAUAUCCUUUCAUCGCAUGGUGAUAGGAAGAAAGGGGAAACCCGCUUUCAGAUGGGCCCGCGUCCCAUCAGCUAGUUGGUAAGGUAAAGGCUUACCAAGGCGACGACGGGCAGCCGGUCUGAGAGGAUGUACGGCCACACUGGGACUGAGAUACGGCCCAGACUCCUACGGGAGGCAGCAGUUGGGAAUCUUAGGCAAUGGACGAAAGUCUGACCUAGCGACGCCGCGUGAGGGAAGAAGGCCUUCGGGUUGUAAACCUCUGUCAUGGGGAAGAAGUAAGUGACGGUACCCAACGAGGAAGCCCUGCUAACUACGUGCCAGCAGCCGCGGUAAAAGUACUACUAU